UACGUAGGGUGCGAGCGUUAAUCGGAAUUACUGGGCGUAAAGCGUGCGCAGGCGGUUAUUUAAGUCAGGUGUGAAAGCCCUGGGCUUAACCUAGGAAUUGCGCUUGAGACUGGAUAGCUUGGAGUGCGGCAGAGGGAGGUGGAAUUCCACGUGUAGCAGUGAAAUGCGUAGAGAUGUGGAGGAACACCGAUGGCGAAGGCAGCUCGCUGGGACGGUACUGACGCUGAGACGCGAAAGCGUGGGGAGCAAACAGG
Molecule: ribosomal RNA, 254 nt
Filed under: uncultured bacterium
Lineage: Bacteria
Description: partial 16S ribosomal RNA
Rfam family: Bacterial small subunit ribosomal RNA
Source: RNAcentral